GACACUUUGGCCGAGUGGUCAAGGCGUAUCCCUGCUAAGGAUAUCUGAGAAAUCAGGCGUGAGUUCGAAUCUCACAGGUGUCG
This is a transfer RNA of Pseudozyma flocculosa PF-1, 83 nucleotides long. It matches the Rfam family "tRNA". Rfam says of the family: Transfer RNA (tRNA) molecules are approximately 80 nucleotides in length. The record is from Rfam. Lineage: Eukaryota; Fungi; Basidiomycota; Ustilaginomycetes; Ustilaginales; Ustilaginaceae.